This 204-nucleotide long non-coding RNA is filed under the name Elaeis guineensis (African oil palm). Its description in RNAcentral is "long non-coding RNA (EGUI_LNC061070)". The record is from RNAcentral. Lineage: Eukaryota; Viridiplantae; Streptophyta; Magnoliopsida; Arecales; Arecaceae.
AGUGGGGUUAUAUGAGUAGUUAGUGAAUAGUAUUUUAUGGAGGUUGUUGUUCUGUUAUAUGAGUAGUUAUACACGUUAGGUGUUUGUUGUAAUGCAUCUUAGAGUUCUCUCAUUCCAGAAUUAAUGAAAGCUUAGUUUGUGUUGUUGCUGUCCACUUUCUACUUUCUUCUCUUGCAAUUUUUUGUGUGUUGCAAUUCCAAUAAA